UACAGAGGGUGCGAGCGUUAAUCGGAAUUAUUGGGCGUAAAGAGCUCGUAGGCGGUCUGUCGCGUCGGUCGUGAAAACCUGCAGCUUAACUGUGGGCUUGCGGUCGAUACGGGCAUGACUGGAGUUCGGCAGGGGAGACUGGAAUUCCUGGUGUAGCGGUGAAAUGCGCAGAUAUCAGGAGGAACACCGGUGGCGAAGGCGGGUCUCUGGGCCGAUACUGACGCUGAGGAGCGAAAGCGUGGGGAGCGAACAGG
Molecule: ribosomal RNA, 254 nt
Filed under: uncultured bacterium
Lineage: Bacteria
Description: partial 16S ribosomal RNA
Rfam family: Bacterial small subunit ribosomal RNA
Source: RNAcentral